Molecule: ribosomal RNA, 1154 nt
Filed under: Salmonella enterica
Lineage: Bacteria; Pseudomonadati; Pseudomonadota; Gammaproteobacteria; Enterobacterales; Enterobacteriaceae
Description: partial 23S ribosomal RNA
Rfam family: Bacterial large subunit ribosomal RNA
Source: RNAcentral
CAUGCACCGAAGCUGCGGCAGCGACACUGUGUGUUGUUGGGUAGGGGAGCGUUCUGUAAGCCUGUGAAGGUGUGUCGUGAGGCAUGCUGGAGGUAUCAGAAGUGCGAAUGCUGACAUAAGUAACGAUAAAGCGGGUGAAAAGCCCGCUCGCCGGAAGACCAAGGGUUCCUGUCCAACGUUAAUCGGGGCAGGGUGAGUCGACCCCUAAGGCGAGGCCGAAAGGCGUAGUCGAUGGGAAACGGGUUAAUAUUCCCGUACUUGGUGUUACUGCGAAGGGGGGACGGAGAAGGCUAUGUUGGCCGGGCGACGGUUGUCCCGGUUUAAGCGUGUAGGUGUGUGUUCCAGGUAAAUCCGGUUCACUUUAACACUGAGGCGUGACGACGAGGCACUACGGUGCUGAAGCAACAAAUGCCCUGCUUCCAGGAAAAGCCUCUAAGCAUCAGGUAACAUCAAAUCGUACCCCAAACCGACACAGGUGGUCAGGUAGAGAAUACCAAGGCGCUUGAGAGAACUCGGGUGAAGGAACUAGGCAAAAUGGUGCCGUAACUUCGGGAGAAGGCACGCUGACACGUAGGUGAAGUGAUUUACUCAUGGAGCUGAAGUCAGUCGAAGAUACCAGCUGGCUGCAACUGUUUAUUAAAAACACAGCACUGUGCAAACACGAAAGUGGACGUAUACGGUGUGACGCCUGCCCGGUGCCGGAAGGUUAAUUGAUGGGGUCAGCGCAAGCGAAGCUCCUGAUCGAAGCCCCGGUAAACGGCGGCCGUAACUAUAACGGUCCUAAGGUAGCGAAAUUCCUUGUCGGGUAAGUUCCGACCUGCACGAAUGGCGUAAUGAUGGCCAGGCUGUCUCCACCCGAGACUCAGUGAAAUUGAACUCGCUGUGAAGAUGCAGUGUACCCGCGGCAAGACGGAAAGACCCCGUGAACCUUUACUAUAGCUUGACACUGAACAUUGAGCCUUGAUGUGUAGGAUAGGUGGGAGGCUUUGAAGUGUGGACGCCAGUCUGCAUGGAGCCGACCUUGAAAUACCACCCUUUAAUGUUUGAUGUUCUAACGUGGACCCGUUACCCGGGUUGCGGACAGUGUCUGGUGGGUAGUUUGACUGGGGCGGUCUCCUCCUAAAGAGUAACGGAGGAGCACGAAGGUUGGCUAA